Molecule: unclassified non-coding RNA, 234 nt
Filed under: Hevea brasiliensis (rubber tree)
Lineage: Eukaryota; Viridiplantae; Streptophyta; Magnoliopsida; Malpighiales; Euphorbiaceae
Source: RNAcentral
AACAGAUUCAUCAGGGUUUCUUGAGGACACUUCUAUUUAUAUAAUUGCAGAGGAUUUUUCUAAACUUUAAUGACUUAAAAUCUUGCCAUUUUUCAGUCUUUAAUACAGUACUCUCAGCAGCCGGCCUUGUCAUUUUUUUCCUUGUUAUUUCUGUGCUACUUAGGCAUGUUGGACACGGCAAAUUAAAAUUGGCAAUCUAUCAAUGUUGAAAAUCUCCUUCAGCUACUGUUAGGU